Molecule: ribosomal RNA, 253 nt
Filed under: uncultured bacterium
Lineage: Bacteria
Also listed under: 1 other name
Description: partial 16S ribosomal RNA
Rfam family: Bacterial small subunit ribosomal RNA
Source: RNAcentral
UACGGAGGGUGCAAGCGUUGUUCGGAAUUACUGGGCGUAAAGGGCGCGUAGGCGGUAAUAUAAGUCAAAUGUGAAAUCCUCCAGCUUAACUGGAGAACAGCAUCUGAAACUGUGUAACUAGAGUACAGGAGAGGGAAACGGAAUUCCCGGUGUAGAGGUGAAAUUCGUAGAUAUCGGGAGGAACACCAGUGGCGAAGGCGGUUUCCUGGCCUGAUACUGACGCUGAGGCGCGAAAGCGUGGGGAGCAAACAGG